This is a long non-coding RNA of Maniola jurtina (meadow brown), 129 nucleotides long. RefSeq lists it as uncharacterized. The transcript has 3 exons. NCBI's taxonomy places the organism in Eukaryota, Metazoa, Arthropoda, Insecta, Lepidoptera, Nymphalidae. The record is from RefSeq and is a predicted model, not a curated record.
UUUGAAUAAAGAUUAUUUUAUCUUAACCUCUCGUCUGUGUUGGCAUGGAUCCUUGCGGGCGGCUUGUCUGUGUUGUCAUGGAUCCAUGCCAUCCAUGUCUAUACUACCUUGCCUUCUCUUAUUGGAUUU